CCCUUAGAUGUUCUGGGCCGCACGCGCGCUACAAUGAUGAAUUCAACGAGUUUAUAACCUUGGUUGAAAAGCCUGGGUAAUCUUUUGAACUUUCGUCGUGAUGGGGCUAGACCCUUGCAAUUAUUGGUCUCCAACGAGGAAUUCCUAGUAAACGCAAGUCAUCAGCUUGCAUUGAUUACGUCCCUGCCCUUUGUACACACCGCCCGUCGCACCUACCGAUUGAAUGGUUCGGUGAAAUCUUCGGAUUGAGACUUUGAUUUGUUUACUCAAAACGCUGUUUCAAGAAGUUGAUUAAACCUUACCAUUUAGAGGAAGGUGAAGUCGUAACA
This 329-nucleotide ribosomal RNA is filed under the name uncultured eukaryote. Its description in RNAcentral is "partial 18S ribosomal RNA". It matches the Rfam family "Eukaryotic small subunit ribosomal RNA", at positions 1470 to 1796 of the family's 1831-position model. The record is from RNAcentral.